GUGGGGAAUUUUGGACAAUGGGCGCAAGCCUGAUCCAGCAAUGCCGCGUGCAGGAAGAAGGCCUUCGGGUUGUAAACUGCUUUUGUACGGAACGAAACGGUCCGGGUUAAUACCCUGGGCUAAUGACGGUACCGUAAGAAUAAGCACCGGCUAACUACGUGCCAGCAGCCGCGGUAAUACGUAGGGUGCAAGCGUUAAUCGGAAUUACUGGGCGUAAAGCGUGCGCAGGCGGUUUUGUAAGACAGGCGUGAAAUCCCCGGGCUUAACCUGGGAAUUGCGCUUGUGACUGCAGUGCUGGAGUGCGGCAGAGGGGGAUGGAAUUCCGCGUGUAGCAGUGAAAUGCGUAGAUAUGCGGAGGAACACCGAUGGCGAAGGCAAUCCCCUGGGCCUGCACUGACGCUCAUGCACGAAAGCGUGGGGAGCAAACAGGAUUAGAAACCCCAGUAGUCC
This 450-nucleotide ribosomal RNA is filed under the name uncultured bacterium. RNAcentral describes it as "bacterial SSU rRNA". It matches the Rfam family "Bacterial small subunit ribosomal RNA", at positions 354 to 796 of the family's 1533-position model. The record is from RNAcentral.